This 274-nucleotide small RNA is filed under the name Carlito syrichta (Philippine tarsier). RNAcentral describes it as "7SK RNA (ENSTSYG00000029898.1)". It matches the Rfam family "7SK RNA", at positions 1 to 248 of the family's 331-position model. From Rfam's summary of the family: 7SK was discovered as an abundant small nuclear RNA in the mid-70s but a possible function has only recently been suggested. Two independent studies have found that 7SK RNA binds the CDK9/cyclin T complex (known as elongation factor P-TEFb). Lineage: Eukaryota; Metazoa; Chordata; Mammalia; Primates; Tarsiidae. The record is from RNAcentral.
UGAAGUGGAUUUAACGUGAGCGCUAUCUGUCACCACAUUGAUCACCAGGGUUGAUCUGGCUGAUCCGGUAAUCAGGUGUCCCCUUUCUCCUUUGCUUCUCCAUAUGUGUCCCUCCCAAAGCUUGUGCUCAGUUGAAGAUGACAAACUUCCUCCAUAGAGGAGGACCGUUCUCUGGUCAAGAUAUACAAUAGUUGCACUUCCCUGCUAGAACCUUCCAUCAAGCUGUCAAAUAGGCAUACAAAGUCACUCUUGACACAAUAAUCUUGGCCUAAUU